CUUCUACUCCCUCCGUUCGGAAUUACUCGUCGGAGAAAUGAAUGUAUCUAGAUGUAUUUUAGGUGUAGAUACAUCCAUUUUUGUGACAAGUAAUUUCUAACGGAGGGAGUACCAG
Non-coding RNA from Triticum aestivum (bread wheat), 115 nucleotides. Lineage: Eukaryota; Viridiplantae; Streptophyta; Magnoliopsida; Poales; Poaceae. The record is from Rfam.